This 24-nucleotide non-coding RNA is filed under the name Arabidopsis thaliana (thale cress). Lineage: Eukaryota; Viridiplantae; Streptophyta; Magnoliopsida; Brassicales; Brassicaceae. The record is from RNAcentral.
UUGGCCCCUAUGCGAUUUUCGCUG